Molecule: long non-coding RNA, 438 nt
Organism: Bubalus bubalis (water buffalo)
Lineage: Eukaryota; Metazoa; Chordata; Mammalia; Artiodactyla; Bovidae
Exons: 4
Source: RefSeq, a predicted model, not a curated record
GUUCAGCACCCCCAAUGGCCACCCGACAGGAUCUCACAAAUGCGGGGGUCAUAACACCUUACCUGGAAAGGGAUUCCAACAGGACAAAUAACAUUUAGAAGCUUUUAACUGAGUGCCUGACCCUUGCAGAGAAAAGAGCAUCAUUACAGAGGCAUACAACUAGCAGUUGCUUCUUCAGGAAUGAGGCAGUGAGCACGAUAUGCAUAUGAGACUGUCAGCCAACCUGGGGAGAAACCUAUGUGGGACACCAAAGUGACUGGCAUGCCUGGACAAUGGAGCAGCCAGGGACUACAGCACCCCCACAGGUUCAUCUUCAUUAAGGAAUUCUCGUUUGGGGUAUGGAAUCUGGCAGCCAGCAAACACACUACAAAUCAUUGAAGGAAAAAAAAAAUACAUGUCAUGACCUAAAAUCUAUAAUAUGAUUGACCUUGUGCAUUU